RNAcentral lists this ribosomal RNA (254 nucleotides) under uncultured bacterium. RNAcentral's name for it is "partial 16S ribosomal RNA". It matches the Rfam family "Bacterial small subunit ribosomal RNA", at positions 524 to 776 of the family's 1533-position model. The record is from RNAcentral.
UACGUAGGGGUCGAGCGUUGUCCGGAUUCAUUGGGCGUAAAGCGCUUUAAGGCGGUUCGCUAAGUCGCGUGUGAAACCUCCAGGCUCAACCUGGAGACGCCACGCGAUACUGGCGUGACUAGAGUUCGGUAGGGGAUCACGGAAUUCCUGGUGUAGCGGUGAAAUGCGCAGAUAUCAGGAGGAACACCGGUGGCGAAGGCGGGUCUCUGGGCCGACAUUGACGCUGAGGAGCGAAAGCGUGGGGAGCGAACAGG